GCAUGGGUUCGGAUGGAUGGCAGGCCCGUCCCCCUGGGUCUCUUAUAUGCCCCGUGCCAGAGCAAACUUCAGCCUCGAACCAUUGCCCAGCCUCUGCCCAUAGGCUGCAGGCACUGAAGCAGGUUGCACAGGG
Molecule: small nucleolar RNA, 133 nt
Organism: Eptesicus fuscus (big brown bat)
Lineage: Eukaryota; Metazoa; Chordata; Mammalia; Chiroptera; Vespertilionidae
Product: small nucleolar RNA SNORA42/SNORA80 family
Exons: 1
Source: RefSeq, a predicted model, not a curated record